CAAGGAGCACACAGAAACUGGUGGCCACGUCUUACAGCUGGGGCAGCUUCUGAUGGCUCCCUGUUUUGGGUGGAGACCACUUGGUCUGAGGCUGAAUUUGCUUUAGAUUUUGGGGCUUGGUUCAUGUUGCAGGAACAGCUGAAGCAGUCUAAGUUGAACCUGCCACAAACCCUGCCUUUUCCAGAGGUCUAAUUAAAAAUACUUGCCGCUGAUGAGGAGAGCUGCUAAGCAUACAAGGUUGUAUUUGAUUACCUUCCCUUCAAGCUGCCCUGGUUGUGUAGUGCUCCACCCUGUGGUCAUCACUCAUGCCAAAGGCGCACAGCAAGAUGGCCAGGAGAGGAAAUCGAGCUGCAGAGGAGCUCUGCUGUUCUUCUGUGCCCUUCUUCAUUGCUCCCAAACUCUGGAGU
This 407-nucleotide long non-coding RNA is filed under the name Struthio camelus australis. Its description in RNAcentral is "lncRNA (ENSSCUG00000014558.1)". Lineage: Eukaryota; Metazoa; Chordata; Aves; Struthioniformes; Struthionidae. The record is from RNAcentral.